RNAcentral lists this ribosomal RNA (305 nucleotides) under uncultured bacterium. RNAcentral's name for it is "bacterial SSU rRNA". It matches the Rfam family "Bacterial small subunit ribosomal RNA", at positions 338 to 639 of the family's 1533-position model. The record is from RNAcentral.
CCUACGGGGCGCAGCAGUGAGGAAUAUUGGUCAAUGGGCGGAAGCCUGAACCAGCCGAGUCGCGUGAGGGACUAAGGCCCUGCGGGUCGUAAACCUCUUUUGCCGGGGAGCAGUGGUCCGGACGCGUCCGAACCGGGAGAGUACCCGGAGAAAAAGCAUCGGCUAACUCCGUGCCAGCAGCCGCGGUAAUACGUAGGUGGCAAGCGUUAUCCGGAUUUACUGGGUGUAAAGGGCGUGUAGGCGGGAAAGCAAGUCAGAUGUGAAAACCAUGGGCUCAACCUGUGGCCUGCAUUUGAAACUGUUUU